This 76-nucleotide transfer RNA is filed under the name Oscillospiraceae bacterium OttesenSCG-928-F05. RNAcentral's name for it is "tRNA-Lys". It matches the Rfam family "tRNA". Rfam says of the family: Transfer RNA (tRNA) molecules are approximately 80 nucleotides in length. Their secondary structure includes four short double-helical elements and three loops (D, anti-codon, and T loops). The record is from RNAcentral. Lineage: Bacteria; Bacillati; Bacillota; Clostridia; Eubacteriales; Oscillospiraceae.
GCACCUUUAGCUCAGUUGGUAGAGCACCUGACUCUUAAUCAGGUUGUCCAGGGUUCGAGCCCCUGAAGGUGUACCA